RNAcentral lists this unclassified non-coding RNA (451 nucleotides) under Portunus trituberculatus (swimming crab). RNAcentral's name for it is "d-aminoacyl-tRNA deacylase-like, transcript variant X2". The record is from RNAcentral. Lineage: Eukaryota; Metazoa; Arthropoda; Malacostraca; Decapoda; Portunidae.
GCGGUCUCUCCGCUAUGAGGACGCGGCCGAGCAUCGCCAUCAUUGUUGUGGAGGUGGUACUUGUCUUCACGCCGUGUCACUAACACCUGCCUACGUGUAGCUGUCAGUGUCGUGUGUUUGAAGAAUUGUGAAGUCUGACCAUCGCAUCUACAGCAUAUUGUAGUGUGACUGAGGAUAUUUGUAGUGCUGCAUAGCCAGAAUCACUCCAGAGUGAAAGAAACAAGUGUUGACAAAUUGAUCAAGCUGUCAUGAGGGCUGUUAUACAGAGGGUUCGACAAGCCUCUGUUUCAGGUGAAUCAAGUGGGAGAAGAUGUUAUAAGUUCCAUUGGAAGAGGCCUUUGUGUUCUGGUUGGCAUCCAUAAGAAUGACACUGAACAGGAUAUAGAAUACAUGCUAAGAUGUAAGCAGGGAACUUCAUUAUCAUUGAGAGCUUUACUAUUGGCAGUCAUGU